This is a long non-coding RNA of Oncorhynchus tshawytscha (Chinook salmon), 3443 nucleotides long. NCBI's taxonomy places the organism in Eukaryota, Metazoa, Chordata, Actinopteri, Salmoniformes, Salmonidae. The record is from Ensembl.
GGCAUGUAGACUUCCUGUUUUCGAUUCCGCCUUCAAAAUAAAAGCUCGCUGUAAAAACAAAAUGCUAUAUGAUCUCAGUGAUAGGAAAUCAUCAAUAUAUUUUAGCUGUUUCGAUAUUUAUGGUAGUUUUGCUAACACCAGCCUCACUACGUCCUUAACUUCAGUGUCAGGAACGGCUGCUUUGUGUUAAACGAAGCCAGAGAGGUCCAACUCGGCGGAAAAUCGUCUCCCUCCAGCAGAAAGAAGGCAGAAACCUGAACCAGAACGAGAGGUUCCACAUCUGAUGAUCCAAGGAGACCAGAAGGACCUCUCCCAGUGAUACCAGGAGAUCCAGUCUACGGUCGAGUGUUCCGAAGGAAGUGGGAUCAGCCGAGGAGGGAAGGACCCUACGAGGUGCCAACAGCCACAAUCACGGCCGUCCAAGUGAAAGGAAGCAAGACGUGGUAUCAUCUAAACCACUGCACCCGAGUCCCGACGGAGAGAAGGACACAACCAUACAGAGAUGAGGACACAGAGGAUGCUGAUUCACCAGAGGGGACCCCGGAGGGAGCAGGAGCAGCGGAAUUGAUCAAAGCCCCACACAACGGAAAAUGGCAGACCAAAUACAACGAGUGCAUCAGCUAACACACUCCGAAGAAGCACCAGGGGAAAAGAGCCUGAAAAGAAAAGAGACAAACGACCAAAGUUUCCUCCAGUAUGGCCAGAAAGCCCAGAAGUGGGAGGGGGUAACAUGUCUGCCACUCCUGAUGAUAUACCUGUUGGGGCAGGCCUCUUUGACAGAAGCCCUCUAAAGAGGGGCUCCGAGGUAUUGCCUAAAGAAUGGGAACAUCUCUUCCCUGAAAUGGACACCUUCCAAAUGGAAGCCCAGUCCGGCCUGAGGAGGGAGCUUCAGGGGAGGAAAGAAGGAGAGACCCCACUAACGAGAAGGAAAAGUCAAGUGAGCUGAAGAAAAUGGCAAUUUCCCCAAAAAUUGACUUUUCAGCUCUUGAAUUGUCUCCAUAAUGAACAAUUGAAGUUAGAACAACAGAAGAACAAUGACAUUGACAUAACAGAAGUAACAGUGAACACUAGUAUAGCAACAACAGACUCACGCACAAUCAAGAUGUAGGGUGGAAACAGGAAGAGAAGAGAGGGACCAGUCAAACAAUCUAAAAAGACUGACAAGGUUAGAAUCUUUGUUCCACCUCAACAUAUAACUGAAACAGGAAAACAGAAGACAAAAGGAUCAAACCCUUACCGGAGAUUGCAUUCGGUGGAUGGACAUAUCGAACGAAGAGAGAAGUCAUUUGGGACUCAAAAGGAUGUGACCUGACGUUAACCAAAGAAGUGGACGAGUGGGUGCUCACCAUGAAUCAGAUUGAACCAUAUUUGAUAAUGUAUCAUGUGAAUAAGGAUAGAUAUUAGGGUAGUUGUACCUAAACCACAUGUUGAAUGCUCGAUGUGGAAGCCCAUUCAGUGUUGAAUUACUUCAAGAAGAAAUAAUGUUGAUUAAGGUUAUGCACAUUAUAAUUUAACGCGUUCAUAAAUGUUUUACGUCGUUAUUACACAUUGAUUACACUAUCACUUGUAUUUCAUAUGUCACAACGAUUCAUCGAUACGUAUGCUAUGACGCUGGUAAAAUUGUCUCGCGCGCACCUACAGUGCUGGUCAUAAAAAAAGCUAGCUAGCUCAUGGAUGCAAACAAUGUUCUUCCCCAAAAACAUAGAAAAACGACAUCUGUUUCAGUAGCUAUAGUUAUAAGACUAUUCCUAUUUGGAAUAUUGUUCCUAUUUGUUUAAUGCUGGUCGGACCCAUCUAUGUGAAGCUAGCCACAAUAAGGAUUAGCCACAGUAGUGGAACUUUGAGGUUAACCUUAAAAAUAAAAAAUAUGUCAUUGACAGAGAUGCAAAUGAAUACAAAUAGUAUAAUAAUGGCAUAAUGGAAUAGAUUGUGCUAAACGAGGUUGGAAUGUUAUAUAAAAUCAACAAAAGACAAUAAUUUGUUAAUUUGACAAAUUGUUGAAAUCACACUGGUUGUAUUAGAAUUUAGAAUUACAUUGGGGGCAUGCUUAUUUCACUGUACAGCCUUACCUAUGGAUUGUGGAUCAUGUUUUGCACACUUUGUACAAAAUAAUACAAUGCAGUACUACAGGAUAUUUCUUAACGCAACUCUUUAUUAGCUAGCUAUAACUGGCAUGUUCACGUAUCGCCAACCAGGAUCAAAGUGCCCAUGACCUAACCAUUUGGGUGGUCUUAACCAAUCAUUGCACAGUAUAAUAUGGCGGUAAAAUGCAUCCAAUUACAAUUCAGUAUGUUUACACAUAUCAGUCUACUCCGUGACACCCAGAGAACAUUAGCGUCAUAACUCUUAUUGUGGGACUCUGAAACAACCGUGGAUUUAGACACAUGUAUUGUCAACCUAUGUGUAUUGAACACUUUUCCAGAGGAAAAAUAAUACUGCGUGGAUGUUUUGGAGUCUGAUAACUCUGAGGAGGACGUUGGGGAAAAAAUAUCUUGGGUAUUGUGUAGACUGAUACCCCAUUUCAUUGAUCCCCAAUCCUUAGGUAAAGCUGUACAGGGCAGUAUGAAUGUCAAUACACACAUUAGGCUGACUGGGGAGGUGAUUUCACAGUCACAGUCCUGCGAUAAGAGCUACAUUUGCAUAAAUUCUUCACAGUUGUGUUCUGUGGGUGUCACCAAGUAGACUGAUACCCGAUUUCAUUGCUUCACAUUCCAACCUUGUUUAACAUGAUCUAGUCUAAAUAUGGCAUGAUUCCACCAAUUGUAACCUUCUGCAUCACUUUCAAAUAGGUACUUUUAUUUUGAAGGCAAAUUGCAAAUUCAAAAAUAUAUAUAUAUAUAUAUCUGUACCAAAUCUUUACUGUGGCUAGCUUCAUAACCCGGUCAGGGCGAGCCUCAUGAAGCUGGCUGGCUGCUUAUAACGUUAGCAUUGGGCAAAUGGGUUUAGUAGCUGGCUAGUUAUUUAUUUUCAUGAACUGAAGUUCAAUUUCAAUAGGCAAACAACAAGUGGCUACCUAGCUAAUACUUACUCCCAAGGAUUCCUAAAUCAUUGCUAAGAAUAACGAAAGUGACUGCAGUUUCUACAGGUCAUUGUUUUCAGGCUGGUUGUAUUGGUGCUAGCUAGGUACCAAGCUAAAGCUAGCUAGCUACCCCAGAAGUUGCGGUCCAACACAACAUUCAACAAUUAAACUGUUAUUUGACGUGUCAAAUUAAAAGCUUAUUUAACAUGUUAAAUAGUGUUAUUUGACAUGUAUAUUUUUUGACACGCAAAGACCCAAACGACGUUCCAUACUUCAGGCGAAUAUAGAAGUUCAUAGGCUUUCCCAGACGGUCUGCCAUACGGGAUCAUUGGGACAGUGUUGCCAACUCCUCAGUAAGGAAACUAGCUAUUGGCUGUCCUAAAAGGCGCAAAAUGACGUCAUUACUCAAUUUGCAUAAUCGGCC